GGGCUGUGAGAAUUGCCCCUUCUUCAAGAUGGACGAAGACCAUGAGCGUGUUGUAGAAUGUACAACUCCUAAUUUUAAUGGGAUAAUUUCAGUCAUGGAUCCUGCCAGAAGUUGGGCUGCUAGAUGGCUGCGAAUUGGAAGGUUCGUUCCAGGUUGUUACACUCUUGCAGUCUCAGAGGCCCUCCCUGAGGAUUUGCAGAAUUUAUGUGAAGAGGAGCGUGUGCAAUAUGC
This 231-nucleotide unclassified non-coding RNA is filed under the name Hevea brasiliensis (rubber tree). The record is from RNAcentral. Lineage: Eukaryota; Viridiplantae; Streptophyta; Magnoliopsida; Malpighiales; Euphorbiaceae.